UCCUCCAGAAGCUUCCCGAAUUGCUGUCACCUCUCAAAGAUAAAUACGAGUGUCCUUGAAAUGACCUUGUCCAGCUACACUCAUGGAUGCAUCCCACCAGGUCUUACGGGUGUGCUUGGCCAGUCUGUUUAAAUGGUCCCUAACCCUAUCCUCUUCUGCCAAAGCGGAAAAAUAUUGGAAAAGGAGCAGCCACAGGAAAAUCUGCCAUUAGAAAAUCUUCAAUAAAGAGCUACUCAUGUCCUGCAGGAGGCCAUGAAUUCUCUGGGAAAUGGAAUCUCUGUUGUUAUAUACCUAAGCAGCACCUAUCACCAUGUUUCCUGAGACCUUGCAGAUCUCAAAAAUAAACAUGAUUCCUAAUUUCUGGUGAUGCCACAAGUCCUUGCCAGGCCCUUGUGUUGUUCUUAUUUGGUUACUUUCCACAGACAGAUUUCAUUUCAAACACACAAGAAGAUGUGAACGUCAUGCAGAUUUGAAGGGAGAAAUAAAGGAAUCAAAUGAGAUCUGCAAUUAAACAUAUAUAGUUCACAAGGAGAUUUACAAAAAGAAAUGAGUGAGAUGGAUAGAAAGAGAAACAGAGCACAUAUUGAAAGUGUCCCCUAUUUGCUGAAUGCAGCCUUUGUGAAGACUGAUGGAUCAGAAAAAAACCUGGAAGCUGCAGUGUUCUGUUUAUCCAAAAAUAAAAUAUUGCAUAGGUCAAGCAAGCACAAUGCAAUCCUCUCUCUCUUUCACUGUGUAUCAGCUUUGACCUGAAAAGACAACUCUCUAAUGUGCUGA
Pezoporus flaviventris is the source of this 774-nucleotide long non-coding RNA. RefSeq lists it as uncharacterized. The transcript has 3 exons. The record is from RefSeq and is a predicted model, not a curated record. Lineage: Eukaryota; Metazoa; Chordata; Aves; Psittaciformes; Psittacidae.